This 493-nucleotide ribosomal RNA is filed under the name uncultured bacterium. RNAcentral describes it as "partial 16S ribosomal RNA". It matches the Rfam family "Bacterial small subunit ribosomal RNA", at positions 29 to 523 of the family's 1533-position model. The record is from RNAcentral.
AUUGAACGCUGGCGGCAUGCUUUACACAUGCAAGUCGAACGGUAACAGGUUAAGCUGACGAGUGGCGAACGGGUGAGUAAUGCAUCGGAACGUGCCCGGUCGUGGGGGAUAACGCAGCGAAAGGUGCGCUAAUACCGCAUACGAUCUGAGGAUGAAAGCGGGGGACCGUAAGGCCUCGCGCGAUCGGAGCGGCCGAUGUCAGAUUAGGUAGUUGGUGGGGUAAAGGCUCACCAAGCCAACGAUCUGUAGCUGGUCUGAGAGGACGACCAGCCACACUGGGACUGAGACACGGCCCAGACUCCUACGGGAGGCAGCAGUGGGGAAUUUUGGACAAUGGGCGAAAGCCUGAUCCAGCAAUGCCGCGUGCAGGAAGAAGGCCUUCGGGUUGUAAACUGCUUUUGUACGGAGCGAAAAGGUCUCCUCUAAUACAGGGGGCUCAUGACGGUACCGUAAGAAUAAGCACCAGCUAACUACGUGCCAGCAGCCGCGGUAA